This 103-nucleotide transfer RNA is filed under the name Promethearchaeota archaeon. RNAcentral describes it as "Candidatus Lokiarchaeota archaeon tRNA-Glu". It matches the Rfam family "tRNA". Rfam says of the family: Transfer RNA (tRNA) molecules are approximately 80 nucleotides in length. Lineage: Archaea; Promethearchaeati; Promethearchaeota. The record is from RNAcentral.
GCUCCUAUAGUGUAGUCCGGCCAAGCAGUAUUUAUUAUAGAAAUAUAUACUUGAAUGCUAGGCUUUCACCCUGGUGACCCGGGUUCAAAUCCCGGUAGGAGCA